Molecule: regulatory RNA element, 116 nt
Rfam family: epsC RNA
Source: Rfam
CGGCGAAGCUUUCUGUCCGUUAUCCAAGAAAGCACUCGGUUGUGCUGUGGGAAACACUGAUUUCCUUAGACGCGUUCGUCGUCAAGAGCAUGAUGUGAGGACGGGUUAGAUGCCCA